AUUUCUCUAAGUCUGGAAUCUUCUUUUCUUCUUCUUUCUUUUUCCUUCUAUUCAAGUUUAUGUCUCAUUGAAGUUGUUCGGAGUGGCGCUAGGACAGUUUCUUGGUAAGUUCAUCAGCUUUACAAUAGUUUUUAAGGUUUGUGUUUGAUUAAAAAUGGUUAGAGGGUUUUGUGGUGGGAAGACCAGUAGUAGUAACGGUGGUAAGGAAUGGAAGAAAGGUAACAAUACUUGGCCAGUGAGGGUUCCUUAUGUCAGCAAUGC
Molecule: long non-coding RNA, 261 nt
Filed under: Gossypium barbadense (sea-island cotton)
Lineage: Eukaryota; Viridiplantae; Streptophyta; Magnoliopsida; Malvales; Malvaceae
Description: long non-coding RNA (GBAR_LNC001771)
Source: RNAcentral